AGUACUGCUAUGUUACUAUAGGAUAUCCAGUAAUACUGACCUGUAUCAGCAUAGGAAACCUUUCAUGAAGCAUAAAGCAGGUUGUCCUCUGUCUGUAAGCUGUUGAUCUCUGCUUCGUAUGCACCCUGAGUGCCAGGUACUUUUUAAAAACAAGAGUGGGAAGGACAGUGACAGAAAACUGACUCUGGCUAUGGGAAGGCCUCCUGCAGAAGCAAGGAGGAUUUCAGGAUGCUCUGGGCACUUAGGCAGAAUUCAAAGUAAUUUGUGCUUUAAAACUUGACCUGAUGGCAACUGUAAGGGAGAAGGUUUGAGGUUUGUUGGUGUUUCUGUUUUGUUGACUCAGUCUCUGUUCUCUUGUCACCUUUAUUGUGCCUGCUUAGCUACUCAGUAUAGCAGUCCCUUAGUGUGUCCUGUCCUCCAUGGGUUCCUCGGGGUGGAAUUGCUAGGUCCCAGGUAAGCACAUGGAGCUCACUCAUGCUUGUUCUUCAUGGGCUUGCUGCAAGACACGGUGAUGUGUGCCAUGCUGAACGUCAAAUAUAGAUGAUUUCUUCUGGAUCCUUUUAAAAUCUGUUAAUCUUUGCAGAGCUGGGACUUCAGCAGCCCAUGGUCAAUCCCAGCAAAGUGCUGAGCUCCCUCAAUUCAAAACAUCUUGCAGAAUGAGGCCAAAGACUAUGAGUUAGGAAGAGGUGUGAGGAGAGCUUUAUUAGUAUGGCACAUAUUUAACCCAUAGGAAAACCCACAAAUUUUACUCAUUUUAAGUGUGUUUCACACUUUUUGACUAUUUGAAAUAACCACAUUUGUAAAAACUUCUUUUAAUGAAUAGAGCUCUUUAUGUACAAAGGCAACCCUUUUCCCCCCUAAGUAGAGUACUUUUAAAAUACUAUUUCUUUUGUAGGUCUGGCUGCUUCCAUCGUCUGUUCGUUAUUGCUUAUUGCUACAGAACCCUAAGAACUGAAACCAGGCAAUUUAGAUUAUACUUUACCUUAAAAGAUUUUGCUGAUCCAUACCACAUAUUCAUCAGGACUAAUAAGACAGAUAAGUAUUUUGAUAUUUAAUGCUAACUGCAUAAAAAUACUCUGGUGUAAGUGGCAAAGCAGUACAAUCUUUGUGUAUGAGUGGAGGGAAAGAGCUACCUGGUUACAAAUUCUGGCCCCACUGAAGUCAGUGGGGGUUCUGCCAUUUGCCUUCAACAAAACAAAGGUUUCACCGUUACGUUUAACAGAAAUAUUUCACUGGGACUGUUGUCAGAGUGCUAGUAAAUAUACAAUUUUUAAGUCUACCUUCCUUUUCACGUUUGAAUGUUUGUUUACCUUUCAUGCACUUCACAGUAAUUUGAUACAAAAAUUUAUCUUCGAUUUCGUUUUAUUUCAGGUUGGUUUUGAAUUGGUUCAUUUUUUACUUCUUGUGCAUUUAGAGAACCCACAUGGCAACAUCUGGGCUAAAAACAUGGCAGGAGAAUGGUCACAUAUUUUGUAUUGCUGGGUUUUAAACUGAAUUAAAGAAAAACAGAAAUGAAAACAUUUGCAUUUGUUUAUGUAAUUAAAAAAAAAUCAUAUAAAGCUGGGCCCAAGGUAGCUGAGUAUAUCCCUUUAAUGAACACAAACCUUCACCUUUUUUGCAAGCACAACGUAACUGGAGAGACAUACAUGUCAUAUCUACCAUAUCAAUGUCAUUUUAGAGUACGUAAAAAACCCCACUCUAUUUGUCUUAGGAAAUAUCGAAAACUUUUAUAGGGAAUUUGGAAAAUAUUUUUUGGCUAGCAUGAAAGGUAAAAUCCUGCAGCACAAAGUACAGACAUGGGCACAGAGACUGAACAGACGGGCUGCUGUAAAACAACCAUUUAAUAAGGCAUUAAAAUGCCAUCGACUUGGACACAUAAAAAAAAAAAGCUAUGAAAACAAAUGCCUUUCAAAUAAUUAGGAUCUUAUGCUUGAGACCAGUGUUGAUCUCUAUGCAGAGAUUUUCCUGCUGAAAUCAGACCAGUCUAAGUCUGAUCGUCUAAGGAAGGAAUUAGCAGCGUAUAAAUCGGCUGCUGCUUGAGAUUUUUGUUUCUGCCAUACGUUCACAUACAUUCAUAUAAAUGAUCGCUUCAGACUUUCUAUCUCCUUCUUUCUGUUUCCUAGAGUAGUUUGGAAGACAUUUAACUUAGUAUGCCAGAAUAUUUUUUUAAUUGAAUCUCAGGUUUUUAUCAUGAGCGUGUGAAAUAGUUAAUUACUAGCUUUUACUCACACUGUGUGAGUGAAUCUGAGCCAGGCUAACAGAUGCAGCCAGAAAUAGCAACAGAAUCCAUUUCUGUUCUCAAAAACAUAGUAUGACUUUGCUUUCACUUGAAGUUAUGUACUUGUAUUGAUUUUAAGAAAUAACAAUAGUUAUUAGCGAUAGCUGUUGUGUAUAGUAAAUCAAAAUUUUAUAAAUUUAUCCUUUAAUGUAAUAAAAAAAGCAACUUCAGGAACAACUUUGUCACCUAUAAUGUAUGCAAAUACAAAAGUAAGAAGUAUAGUUGACCAUUCAUAUCUGUGUAUUUAAGCCUGGGUCACUGCUGUCUUGGUAGUCCUCGUUUGCAUAGCUCAAUAAAGCCUCACUAAUUACAAAGAAUGUAUUUGGAAGGCUGUGCAUCUGUGAUAAUGGACUUAACAUUACAAAACAAAGUAACAGUUAUCUAAGAAAUGAACAUCAGACUCUCGACUUAAAGUUGGAAUUUAAUAAUUUUAUCACAAAAGUAGUAUUUAAUGAGUAUUGCUUUUCUCAUAUAAUAAAUUUACUGUUUUGAUCUCCAUUUUACUGCAAAUUAAAGUCAAUAAUCCUGGAUAAAUUAAUGUAUGUCCCUUCUGUAUUUUCAUCUUGUUUCCUGUUCUGUCAUUAGUCAACAGUUAACCCCCAAGGCGCAUAUUUUUAAACUCCUAAUCUUUCUUUCAGAUCUGUAAUAUCAGAAACUCUCAGAUCUUGUGUUUUUAACAUAGAACUGGGUCACAUGAUGAGAGUCCUGGGUGUAACUUUCAUAACCCGGCAGAAUAGGAGAUCUUUCCCUUGAUAUUGUGAUUUCUUCUAUUAAUCGGUUUUUAUAUGACUUUCUGCUAGCCGAGUUUUUAAAGGUGUGAAAACUUGCACUACAGAGGUAUUUUAUAGAUUGCAACCAUAAUUUCUGAAUAAGAUUCUAAAUAACUGGUCUGGUUAUAAAGCUUUGGGCGCAAUUUUUAGGUUCCCAUGAAUUACUGUUAAACCUGUGUUGCCAUUUGGCUAGAAGUACAUCCCAAUUAGUGACCCUCCUAUCUAGCAGUAGCAGUAUGCAAGUGAUUUUUUUUUUUUUAUUUAAGUCAGUCGUAAAUGAUUAGUCCAAAAGAGUAGCAUAAAACUUCGAACUAGUCCCCUGCAGGAGUCGGCUGGAGGAAAUUAAAGGAUCAACAACACAAGGGAAGCACUGAGGUAGGAUUGUUCCAGGCUGCAGCCACAGGCUUUCACAUGCACUCAGGAAAUUGACUUCAUCAAAAGCUGAGGAUGCAGGCGUGAGGAUGAGGAGGAUAACGCAGGUGAUGAUUCUAAAUCAUGGCUCAAUAUCACAUCGCUUUCCAAGGAGAGGUUUCCUCCCUGCCUCAAAAAAAAGCAGGUUUUCUAUAUAAAAAUCGAAUCUUCUCUUUAUGAAUUAAUAAAAGUUCAGCACAAAUCUGAGCUAUAAAUCUAAUAUAACUUAAUAAAUAAUGAAGACUCAGUUUCGCCCAAAUAAUAUCAGUUGGAUGUUUUUUUGCAGAAGUAAAAAAUGACUCCUCAUAAGCUCCACUGCCUGUCUCCGAGCGUUACUGCCCCGUGUGUGGAUUUGUGUGUUUGUGUGCGAGCUGUAAAACAAAGGACUCCAGAGUGCAUGGGACUUACAGGCUGGCAAGGCAAUGUCUUUAAUGCUUUAAAGUAAAUUAAUGCUGCAGAAAUUUGGAUAUUCUGGGCCUGUGAUGAAGCUGAAACCUUUCUAGUGGAGCAGGAAAGAAUCAGAAGAGGGGAAAUGCAUAAAUCUACAUCUGGAGCCAAGUAUGCUGGGAAGGCAUAAAGAGAUGGGGGAGCAGGAGUGCCAGAACAGAGCUGAGAGCGCGAAAUUCCAAGGGGAAAAGUGGGAGAAAGAAAGAGGAAUGUCCCAGGAAUGAAGCUCUUACCAUGUUCAAAACUUUCAUCGGAAGUAAAACACUGGAAGGCUAUAAUCCAAAUAAGGAAAUUAGAACAAAAAUUAACAAUAUUCAGCUAGUCAGAUGUCAAAAGAAAUAGCAGAGUUAUUGGUGUUAGAGGUUAUUGCCAGGAGGGAAAAACUCAGCAUGCCCUGGGUAAUUAAGCUUCAUUGGAGAGCAUGGAUCCCUUCUCCAGGUAAGAAAUGCUUUUAUAACAUGGCAUCUUUUGCUAUUGUAAUUAAACACCAUGGGCUAUUCUGCAUAUGAAGUCUUAAACACUUUAGUCCUUUAUCACAGGAUUUUACUGGCCAGGCAUAUGUGUUCUUAUGGCAAAAAGCAUUGACUGCUAUAAAAAAAGAAACCCAAACAUUUCUUUUUAUUACUUGACUUGCUGUAUUUUUAUAUAUAUUGAGCCAAAUUCAUCCCUUGUGUAGCUCAGUUGAAGCCAAUAAGGAUAGAUUUGGCCCAUGUCUAUAUGAGAAAGGUGGUGACAAUUAAAAUAUAUUGUUUAAUAAUGAGAGCUAUGGUAGUGAAGUGUCUUUGUGUCUAUGAAAUUAUACACCACGACACCACAUUGCCAGUAUAGGCUGGGGCUAGCAAAACACAUAAGACCAGUUUCUGAUGGAAAGGUAAAAGCACUCUGACUUUUAUUAUUAUGAUUAAAUAUCACAAAGGCAUUCGAACAAGACUAAUUUAGGUAACAUCUCCAGAAGUCUCAUUUAUAGUGUGGUAUUUUGCCAUAGUGCAAGCCAUUUUAAAACAUUUCUUGAAUGUUAUUAUAUGUGGCUAUCAAGGAUAGUAUGACUGGCUGCUAUUAGCAGUAAGUAAAAGAACAGGUUUUUAUUUCAUUUAUACUUUACUGAUUUUCAGUAACGCUGCAAAAGGAAUGUGCCCUAUUAAAUGAAAUGUGCGGACAGCCAUUAUUAUCACUUCACACUGGUAAUUCCCAGCGGUUCCUCUGUGUGAGGCAUCACACCAGCACACGAAAGACAUCAUCGAUACCCUGAAGAUCUUCAGAUCUUGCCAUUUUCGGCAGCGAGAUAGGCAAAGUUUAUUGCACAGGCAACCAGGGCAUCUGUACUGCCAGCCAGAAACCAUAGCCCUGACUCCAAGCCUCUGCAUGUGCCUGCCAGAACAGCAGGCUCAGCAGUGCGCUGCUUGCUGUGUGUGAGCACUGGUGCAAAGAUCUCUGGUUCGGAGGGGGGAAACAACUUGGACUCCCCCCAGCCGGUGCUCAGGGAAAGUCGGUGCCCCCAGGGGCCCCCUGCUCCUUUCCGUCUGCUCUGACCCUUCGCAGCUGCCUCGGGGCUCCCUGUCAGUAUGCUUUAGGAACAGGGGUGGGAAAGGUCAGAGGAGUAAGAGGGACAGGUAUUUUGUUGACCCAAGAGCUGCGCCAGCUCUUGAUGGCCCUGCCCAGGAGGCAGCAGAAAGCAAUCCCUCGCCCUGCUGAGCUAAUGGACUCCAGCAGAGACAGGUACCCCUUAAAUGAGAAUAAAGUUAUAAAAUACUGCCGAUGUAAUUAAUUGCUCAGUUUGUCCAAUGCUGCUGGUCCUCUAAGGAGUCUCUGAUCCCCCAAAAAUAAGGGGAAAGAAAAUGCAGAAUAAUAACAACAAAAAAUCUUUUACUGUAGUUAUUACUCAUUCUGAAUCUCUUUUACAGAAACCUGACCUUUACCAUUGAAUUGAGAUAAUAUUUUAUUAGAAGAAAGCAUGAUUCAUUGAGUUGGUGAGCUUCGAAUCUGUGCAAAGGAAAACUGGGAAGGACACAAAAAAGCUGGGCUGUGGAAAACCAUUGCCACACAACGAAUCUCAAUCUGUGCACAGAAACAGCACAAAGGAAGAAAAUAUUUCCAAGGAAACAUCUGAUCAUAGCACUGGAGCCAAUUUUCAAGUUCACAUUUUAACUUGCAUUUCGUUCCUGGCUGCUGACUUCCUGCUUCCUGUUCUCUUGCUGUUUAUAGGAUGAAUAUUGAUUUUCAGGCGAUCUAAUUAACCGCUUCCUAGAGGGCCAGGUUCCAAGGGCAGACUCGGGGCUGCAGUCCCAGCCUGGGGGCACCUUGGUGCCUGCCCAGGGACCUCUAAGCUGCGUGGGGUAUGAGGGAUGUGAGGGCGGAGCAGAAAGGAGGAUUCGGAUCAAACAGCCUCAGGAGUCACCAGCACCAGCCCCUGCAGCCAUAAGCCCUCUCCUGGGGGUGCAUUUCUUCUAGAAGGAAACCUGAGGAGCUGCUGCCGUGCCUUCUUUACCUAUACCAUGGUCAACCCCUCAUGUUGUGGAACUCCCUAAUCAAUGAACAGCCUGAAACAUACCGUGGGCUGGGAGUGCUGACUUUUGGAUAAAGACUGUUCCACUUGGACAGGAAUAAUUAAUAAUUAUCAGGGACUGGCUUUGUGCAUGCCUAGGGGGAGUUCACACCUUUCUAGGGCUACGUGAAGGUCUGGAGGUCUAUGGCUGGGGUUCAGAGGCUUCCUGCUGCCACAGGUGCUUUAUCCCUUCAUUACAUUUUGAUUCCCCAUCGUCCUUCCCACUUUACACUCACAGUCUUUGCUACUUAAAACCACAAAGCAAAAUUAAUAUAUUUUAAUUGUUGAAAGCCUUUUACUUGAAAUCUACCACAACGUUAGAAGCUCAUUCUCAGAAUUAAUCAGCCAGGUAGGCCUCCUGGUCACGACUGCCAUAACAAGUUCCCUGACAGAAGGCAAGCCUGCGGCCUUGCUUGGCCGCAGUCACCACCUGGGCAGCUUCUCUGCUGGGCCAGGCAGCCCCUGCCGAGUUUAAUUUUACACUUCAGUUGAAAUGCAACCUGGGCUGGCCUAUACCUCACGGUGCUGGUGCAAGGAGUGGCUGUGAAUCUCCUCAUGAAACCCAUCUGAACUCUUAAUGCCUACUGUGACCAAGUGACAGAGCCCAGGGCAGUUUCUCAUGUGGCAGUGUUUUUGUGUUAAAGUACAUCUCGUGUUGGACACGGCUUUUUGCUUUUGUUGUACGGUUCCCAACGUUUUCUUUGCUGUUAUUUUUAAUAUUGAUCCUGUAUUUGUGGAAAGGAAAUCUGUUCAAAACCUUGCUUUCCCCACCAGCAAGUCACAGUCUCAUGAUUUCCGUUACAUCCUACUAUCAAAGCAGUAAAAGCCCUCAAAUCACAUUGAAUUUAGGCUGCCUCUUGUCACAGUCAAGUGCAUGGCACCUCCUUGGAGCAGACCCUUGAAUUAAAAUAUUGUAAAUUUUUUGCUGUUCAAGCAAUACUGCAGAAACACUCGUGGCCAGGGAGGGAGGAGACUUUUUCCUCCUGCUGGAAUUUUUCACUAUAACCAUCCUCAGGGGAGUUCUCAUCUUCAAAAGAAACAUUCCUUCUAUACAAGCUGCAAAAAGAAUUAUUUAAUGACAUCAUAAAUUAAUACAGAGAGGCACAAAUUUUCCAAAAUGUGGAGAGAGAGGAAAAAAAAAUUAGCGUUUGCCAAAAACACCCCAGCUCUUCCAGACUUAGGCCUCUCUUGAGCCUGCGAGCUGCCAACGAUACCAAAUUGAACGGUGGGGUUUUUGGCAUGGCUAAAGUUUAGCUUGUUUAAAUUUUGGCAAAUAUUCGUAUUACUCACAUACUCAGCAAACUGAUACAAAUAUUUGUUCUAUUUAGAGUGAGGUCCAAAGGCAGUGCUGGCAUCAGCGCUGCUGGACUCGGUGGAACUAUCUUUCUCGUGCCAAUAUUAAAUUUGGACAUCUACCUUAAAGAAAAACAGCCUUUUAGGUACAGAUUAGAAUACAUCAAUGGAAAACAGCCCUCGUGCAUAGCCAAGUUUUCCUCGCUUGCUAAUUUUUGCCUGAAUCUGAGUUGAAAUGGGCCUAGUUUUUCUGCACGCGGGCUGCCACUCGCUGUUACGAUGCGGCGAGCCACCUAGGCAGAGCUGGAGCUGGAAGGGCCUCCGCACACACCGAGCCCUCCACAUUCCUGAGAAGCAAAAUGUGUUCCUGCUGCCGCACACCGAACCUGGGCGCGGUAACGUUUUAAUGCUGUGCAGGUUGCUGGGUUUGUUUUAGCGGUGGCUGCAGUUUACCGUUUCUAAUUCGAAAAACAAAUAGAGCAUUAACCUCCCACCUCCGGCUCCUCCAGGAGGCUCGGAUACUGUCGGGCUCCGCUUCUGGAGGCCCAGCAGCUUGGCAGAGAGCUGCCCCGUGGGCUGGUGGGGAGCUUGGUGCCGAUCACGCAGCAGCGAGCGGAGCCACAGCCACCAAACCCACCCAGAUGUGAAACACAGAACCGAAGCAGGAACCUGGGUGCCUCCCCCCUUGCCUCUGAGCUCUCUUUGGGAUCAGACACAGAAAGCGAGUUUGAAAUUUUGCAACGAAAACGAAACAAAAGCAAACAGACGCCACCCUUCCAUUCCUUAACUGAACGCAGCCAGAAUGCGCUGCGGGGGUGUGCUGGCUGCGGGUCUGUGUUCGGUUCAGAUGUGGUGUGUGAGCUGGAUGCUAUUUAGUGCUUGCUAAAUGCUUUUGUAAAGGCCGAGUAGGAGUGGGAUCCCCCUAACUUAACUUCAGCCAUUUAGAAAUGGGAAAUCUAGCCUGGCUGAGCUGGAUUCCUCUAUGAGUGGAAAAUAUCAUCGCCAUAGCAUGAUUCAUCCCCUUUUAAUCUAAGUGUCUGAUCUCUCUCCAUUGACUAUAAAAGGAGCCCAGCUGACCAGAUUAGCAUAUACCCAAAUUUUGGGCAUUUCUGUGCUAACUCAGCCUUUUACAACCGGGCCCUGUAGUGGCCAUACCAUGGCCUGUUUUUAAAACUAGGAGCUCGCGGUGUGCCACGGGGGUUCACAGAGCGCCUGCACAGCACCGAACCUCGGCCGUGAGCUUUACAAAAAGCCUGACGGCCGCGUGUGCCCUCGUCUGCUUCCAUCUGAACGUUAAACCCUGCAUUAGCUACGGGUUCAAGGCUCCUCUGCCUUCCCUGCAUGAGCAGAAAGCUGCCGGAACAAUUCUGGUAGGAGUUACUUUCAAAGCUGCCUUAAACCAAUAAAUAUUGCAUUAAUCAAGAGAAGCGGAGGAAAAAUGGUGCAAAAUAGCGGCGGUGAUUAUUCAUGGAAAAGGCCAUUAUUAUUGUUAGUCAUAUUUGUAAAACAGGCAAAGGAGCCAGUCCAGCUUGGCAUGUGGACUCUGGGCUCAUGACCCCAUAAAUUGUAGGCUACGGUGGCAGUGCUCGUCUCGUGGUGUUGAUUCAGUGUCACGGUGAGGAAUGACCCGAGCCUUUCACCUUAUGGCUGCCGAUACCCUCAGACCCCUGCGGCCCCCCAGCCCUGUAGUUCUUCACCACUGUACAUGCAACCGGUCCACGCAUAAGUAUGGGAGCAUCAUUUUGCUGCUCCUGUUACAAGCUGCUUUUAACUUCAGUCUAGCAGUGCUUGUGGUCCACUAAAAAUAAAUAAAAUAAAAUAAAAAAUAAAAAAGGAAAAGAAACACGAAAUACUGAAAACAAACAAAAAAACCCUUAGUCUUGCAGCAGGCAGUUAAAGUUUGCUGGUGUCGCUAUGGCACGGUUAUAAAGGGUCAAGUGUUAAUUUUGGGCAAGUGUUAAUUGGUAUAAUCAGACAGUAGGAAACAGAAGACAGACACAGCAGCCAGUAAUUCACCACGGAAUGUUUUUAUACUAAUUAUU
Molecule: non-coding RNA, 9783 nt
Organism: Anas platyrhynchos (mallard)
Lineage: Eukaryota; Metazoa; Chordata; Aves; Anseriformes; Anatidae
Source: RefSeq, a predicted model, not a curated record